This 253-nucleotide ribosomal RNA is filed under the name uncultured bacterium. Its description in RNAcentral is "partial 16S ribosomal RNA". It matches the Rfam family "Bacterial small subunit ribosomal RNA", at positions 524 to 776 of the family's 1533-position model. The record is from RNAcentral.
UACGGAGGGUGCAAACGUUGCUCGGAAUCAUUGGGCGUAAAGCGCGCGUAGGCGGUUUGUUAUGUCGGAUGUGAAAGCCCUUGGCUCAACUGAGGAAGUGCAUCCGAAACUGGCAGGCUAGAGUACUAAAGAGGGUCGCGGAAUUCCCGGUGUAGAGGUGAAAUUCGUAGAUAUCGGGAGGAACACCGGUGGCGAAGGCGGCGACCUGGGUAGAUACUGACGCUGAGGUGCGAAAGCGUGGGGAGCAAACAGG